Molecule: non-coding RNA, 93 nt
Organism: Ceratotherium simum simum (southern white rhinoceros)
Lineage: Eukaryota; Metazoa; Chordata; Mammalia; Perissodactyla; Rhinocerotidae
Source: RefSeq, a predicted model, not a curated record
AAAAACACAAGGCCUACAAAGAAACAGGCAAGUAUGGCUCAUUCAAAGGAAAAAAAUAAUUCAACAGAAACUGUCCCUAAAGAAGUCCAAACA